Long non-coding RNA from Scaptodrosophila lebanonensis, 920 nucleotides. RefSeq lists it as uncharacterized. The record is from RefSeq and is a predicted model, not a curated record. Lineage: Eukaryota; Metazoa; Arthropoda; Insecta; Diptera; Drosophilidae. The transcript has 5 exons.
UUCUACAGUCAAUUCAGACAAAUAGGCCGUUCUUUAUAAGACAAACAAUUUAACAAAACAGAAACUCUUGAAUAUUAUAAAAUUUAAACUUACAAGAUGGCCCCGAACAUAAAAGUUAAGAAUGGAAAGCAGGGUGGCAUUCAGAAACCAAAGAACGCAUUCAAAGCGGCCAACCAUAGGAAUUCUCCUCAUCUUGAUGAAAGGGCUCUGAUAUACUUGGUUGAAAACAUUGCCAAGAAAUAUCAGCCACAGAGGGUGCCGUUUUAUAAUAAUUAUGUCAGCGCCCUCGAUAUAAAUAGACCAGUAACCCGUUCUAUGACCCAGAAUGAUCCAAAUAUCGUUCUAUUGGGCCCAUAUGAGGGAUUCUUGUAAGGAAGAUCUUAUUUGUUUCGUUAAUGUUCUUAUACGUUCCCUAAAAAGUUUGUGUGCCCAAAAGGCGACGGAAUAGUGGCCCUCAGACCUGAUUAAAGAUUCGUAAAAUCGACAAAGGAAGAACUGUGAUCAUUAUGGGUUCAUAACAUCUUCAAAAGGCACACAAACGUUAUUUUGUUUUAAAAUGUAUUUAAAAUUCAUCGUUUUUUUUUUAACCUCUAAAUAUUCUAAAUUUGUUUGCUCCGACUCAAUCAUAUUUUAGAAUCAUUCACAAAACUGGCUCUACUAGUUCCUGUAUACAGAUCGAACCGUUUGGCCGUUAGACUCAACCCGCAACUUUCAAGUCUGUCCAAUUUGAUCGUGAUUUGAUCUGAGCCGGGGGCGUGAAUCUUAGACUAGUUUUUAAAACACGAGCUUGUCCAAAUUCCUUGGCCGCGCCAAUCAAUACAAAUUGAAAUAGUUCAAAUUAUAAAUAUAGACAUUUUAUCAAUGUUAUCAAAUAUAAUGGAAAUGUAGAAAUAUUGCAGAGCUUAAACACUAAAUCGAAG